UAGUUUUUAUUUAUUUCUAUGGGAAUUGUGUGUUAUUAAAUUUAGCAAAAUCAUUUUAUUUUUGGUAUAUAUGUAGAAUUUCUUUUUAUUUUAUAGUGUUCGAAGGAGCUGUUUUCUUUUUAAAAAAAUCAGGUUAUUCCUUUUACUUUUUGUAUCAUGGCUUAUAUAGGGCGUGGUUUUAUUAAUUAUCCUGAAACCUUUAGAGCUACCUCCUUGAUUAGCCUUAUUGUUGGGGCCCUUUGGUGCCGCAUAGGGGGGCCUGGGGCUCCCUGUGGUCGUACAAUUGGUGCGGGUUGGUGCGGGCCUUCCGUAGGAAAACAGGUUUGCGCUUUUAGAUUCGACACAGGGUGCUGGGUUGUGUUGAAACACGCCCCGAAAUAGGGGGGUAGAUGUGACAUGUAUGUCGAAUAAGGUGAUAGCUGGUUGAAAGGGAAAUAUAUAUAAGUGUAGAGCAGCAUUGGGCUGUUAGGUGUCUUUUAUGGUGCUUAGCCUGUUUUCGGUUCCCUUGCUUAGUGGGUUUCCGAUUAUGUUGUUUUAAGCCUUUUAGGGUUAAUCUUAAAAGGUAUGUGUUAGUUGGCUUAAUAAAUAAAGUAUGGUUAGUAUUUCCUCUCUUUUCAAAUUUUUGUUCAAAUUGGUUUUAAGUUUUUUUUGUUCUUAGUACCUUUCCUUCAUUUUAAACUUUAAAUUGAAGAUUAGUAUAAGAUCAGUAGGCAAAGCAUGUGGGUUAAUAUAACCACAGCUCUUAUAGUUUAAAAUUCUUUGUGAUGUGUUUUCCUCGUUAGGAGGUAUAUAAAAGUUUUUUGUUUUCUUUAUGUGGGUGUAAGGAACUCGGCAAACAUGGUCUCCGCCUGUUUAUUAAAAACAUGGCUUCUAGGUCUUAGGUAUUAGAAGUCGGACCUGCCCGGUGGAUAUUCUUUAAACGGUUGCUAUUGGUGGUAGUACUAAGGUAGCGUAGUAAUUUGUCCCUUAAUUGGGGAACGGUAUGAAUGGUUUAACGCGAGACCAACUGUCUCACACUCAAAGGUCGAAGUUUUCAUCUAAGUGAAAAGACUUAGGUAUUUUUAAAAGACGAGAAGACCCUUUCGAGCUUACUGAAACUAAGUGCUUUUCGUGUUUUUUUGAAUUUUUGUUGGGGCAAUAAAAAGGAAAUACAACCCUUUUUUCUUUGGUGUAGAUCCUUUAUUAAGGAAUUUAGAAAAAGCUACCGUAGGGAUAACAGCGUUAUUUCUUUAGAGAGGACUUAUUAAAAAAGAAGCCUGCGACCUCGAUGUUGAAUUAAAGUGUAAUCUGGGCGCAGCAGCUUGGAUAGUAGGCCUGUUCGUCCUUUAAAACUUUACAUGAUUUGAGUUUAGACCGGCGUGAGCUAGGUCGGGUUCUAUCUUUAUUUAAAGUUUCCUAUGUACGAAAGGACCGGGAAGCUGGUAUUUUUACUUAGGUGUGGUG
Molecule: ribosomal RNA, 1443 nt
Filed under: Xylophaga washingtona
Lineage: Eukaryota; Metazoa; Mollusca; Bivalvia; Myida; Xylophagaidae
Description: 16S ribosomal RNA
Rfam family: Archaeal large subunit ribosomal RNA (bases 769-1443)
Source: RNAcentral